RNAcentral lists this ribosomal RNA (440 nucleotides) under uncultured bacterium. Its description in RNAcentral is "bacterial SSU rRNA". It matches the Rfam family "Bacterial small subunit ribosomal RNA", at positions 955 to 1395 of the family's 1533-position model. The record is from RNAcentral.
CUUAACGCGAAGAACCUUACCAGGCCUUGACAUGCAGAGAACUUUCCAGAGAUGGGUUGGUGCCUUCGGGAACUCUGAGACAGGUGCUGCAUGGCUGUCGUCAGCUCGUGUUGUGAAAUGUUGGGUUAAGUCCCGCAACGAGCGCAACCCUUAUCCUUUGUUGCCAGCGGUUCGGCCGGGAACUCAAAGGAGACUGCCAGUGAUAAACUGGAGGAAGGUGGGGAUGACGUCAAGUCAUCAUGGCCCUUACGAGUAGGGCUACACACGUGCUACAAUGGCGUAUACAAAGAGAAGCGACCUCGCGAGAGCAAGCGGACCUCAUAAAGUACGUCGUAAUCCGGAUUGGAGUCUGCAACUCGACUCCAUGAAGUCGGAAUCGCUAGUAAUCGUAUAUCAGAAUGCUACGGUGAAUACGUUCCCGGGCCUUGUACACACCGAAG